CACAGAGAGCUUGCUCUCGGGUGACGAGUGGCGGACGGGUGAGUAAUGUCUGGGAAACUGCCCGAUGGAGGGGGAUAACUACUGGAAACGGUAGCUAAUACCGCAUAAUGUCGCAAGACCAAAGUGGGGGACCUUCGGGCCUCACACCAUCGGAUGUGCCCAGAUGGGAUUAGCUUGUAGGUGAGGUAACGGCUCACCUAGGCGACGAUCCCUAGCUGGUCUGAGAGGAUGACCAGCCACACUGGAACUGAGACACGGUCCAGACUCC
RNAcentral lists this ribosomal RNA (268 nucleotides) under uncultured Enterobacteriaceae bacterium. Its description in RNAcentral is "partial 16S ribosomal RNA". It matches the Rfam family "Bacterial small subunit ribosomal RNA", at positions 70 to 339 of the family's 1533-position model. Lineage: Bacteria; Pseudomonadati; Pseudomonadota; Gammaproteobacteria; Enterobacterales; Enterobacteriaceae. The record is from RNAcentral.